CCUACGGGGGGCUGCAGUGGGGAAUAUUGGACAAUGGGGGCAACCCUGAUCCAGCCAUGCCGCGUGUGUGAAGAAGGCCCUCGGGUUGUAAAGCACUUUCAGUGAGGAAGAACGCCUGGUGGUUAAUACCCAUCAGGAAAGACAUCACUCACAGAAGAAACACCGGCUAACUCCGUGCCAGCAGCCGCGGUAAUACGGAGGGUGCGAGCGUUAAUCGGAAUUACUGGGCGUAAAGCGCGCGUAGGUGGCUUGAUAAGCCGGUUGUGAAAGCCCCGGGCUCAACCUGGGAACGGCAUCCGGAACUGUCAAGCUAGAGUGCAGGAGAGGAAGGUAGAAUUCCCGGUGUAGCGGUGAAAUGCGUAGAGAUCGGGAGGAAUACCAGUGGCGAAGGCGGCCUUCUGGACUGACACUGACACUGAGGUGCGAAAGCGUGGGUAGCAAACAGGAUUAGAUACCCCAGUAGUC
RNAcentral lists this ribosomal RNA (465 nucleotides) under Vreelandella stevensii. Its description in RNAcentral is "partial 16S ribosomal RNA". It matches the Rfam family "Bacterial small subunit ribosomal RNA", at positions 338 to 795 of the family's 1533-position model. Lineage: Bacteria; Pseudomonadati; Pseudomonadota; Gammaproteobacteria; Oceanospirillales; Halomonadaceae. The record is from RNAcentral.